Molecule: ribosomal RNA, 495 nt
Filed under: uncultured bacterium
Lineage: Bacteria
Description: partial 16S ribosomal RNA
Rfam family: Bacterial small subunit ribosomal RNA
Source: RNAcentral
GACGAACGCUGGCGGCGUGCCUAAUACAUGCAAGUAGAACGCUGAAGGAGGAGCUUGCUUCUCCGGAUGAGUUGCGAACGGGUGAGUAACGCGUAGGUAACCUGCCUGGUAGCGGGGGAUAACUAUUGGAAACGAUAGCUAAUACCGCAUAACAGUAGAUGUUGCAUGACAUUUGCUUAAAAGGUGCAAUUGCAUCACUACCAGAUGGACCUGCGUUGUAUUAGCUAGUUGGUGAGGUAACGGCUCACCAAGGCGACGAUACAUAGCCGACCUGAGAGGGUGAGCGGCCACACUGGGACUGAGACACGGCCCAGACUCCUACGGGAGGCAGCAGUAGGGAAUCUUCGGCAAUGGACGGAAGUCUGACCGAGCAACGCCGCGUGAGUGAAGAAGGUUUUCGGAUCGUAAAGCUCUGUUGUAAGAGAAGAACGAGUGUGAGAGUGGAAAGUUCACACUGUGACGGUAUCUUACCAGAAAGGGACGGCUAACUACGUG